AAGUAGAACGCUGAAGAGAGGAGCUUGCUCUUCUUGGAUGAGUUGCGAACGGGUGAGUAACGCGUAGGUAACCUGCCUGGUAGCGGGGGAUAACUAUUGGAAACGAUAGCUAAUACCGCAUAAAAUUGAUUAUUGCAUGAUAAUUAAUUGAAAGAUGCAACUGCAUCACUACCAGAUGGACCUGCGUUGUAUUAGCUAGUUGGUGAGGUAACGGCUCACCAAGGCGACGAUACAUAGCCGACCUGAGAGGGUGAUCGGCCACACUGGGACUGAGACACGGCCCAGACUCCUACGGGAGGCAGCAGUAGGGAAUCUUCGGCAAUGGGGGGAACCCUGACCGAGCAACGCCGCGUGAGUGAAGAAGGUUUUCGGAUCGUAAAGCUCUGUUGUAAGAGAAGAACGGGUGUGAGAGUGGAAAGUUCACACUGUGACGGUAUCUUACCAGAAAGGGACGGCUAACUACGUGCCAGCAGCCGCGGUAAUACGUAGGUCCCGAGCGUUGUCCGGAUUUAUUGGGCGUAAAGCGAGCGCAGGCGGUUAGAUAAGUCUGAAGUUAAAGGCUGUGGCUUAACCAUAGUAUGCUUUGGAAACUGUUUAACUUGAGUGCAGAAGGGGAGAGUGGAAUUCCAUGUGUAGCGGUGAAAUGCGUAGAUAUAUGGAGGAACACCGGUGGCGAAAGCGGCUCUCUGGUCUGUAACUGACGCUG
RNAcentral lists this ribosomal RNA (706 nucleotides) under Streptococcus sanguinis. Its description in RNAcentral is "bacterial SSU rRNA". It matches the Rfam family "Bacterial small subunit ribosomal RNA", at positions 59 to 748 of the family's 1533-position model. Lineage: Bacteria; Bacillati; Bacillota; Bacilli; Lactobacillales; Streptococcaceae. The record is from RNAcentral.